UAAGUGCGAAACUGACCUGAAGAUGAGUAUUCCAAAUAAGGGCCGUUGUAGAUGACAACGUUGAUAGGUUGCAGAUGUAUAGGUAGAGAUACCAGAGUCGAGCAAUACUAAUUACCCAACAGCUUAUGAUAU
RNAcentral lists this ribosomal RNA (132 nucleotides) under Flectobacillus roseus. Its description in RNAcentral is "partial 23S ribosomal RNA". It matches the Rfam family "Bacterial large subunit ribosomal RNA", at positions 2782 to 2925 of the family's 2925-position model. The record is from RNAcentral. Lineage: Bacteria; Pseudomonadati; Bacteroidota; Cytophagia; Cytophagales; Flectobacillaceae.